RNAcentral lists this transfer RNA (73 nucleotides) under Stegodyphus mimosarum. It matches the Rfam family "tRNA". From Rfam's summary of the family: Transfer RNA (tRNA) molecules are approximately 80 nucleotides in length. Their secondary structure includes four short double-helical elements and three loops (D, anti-codon, and T loops). Further hydrogen bonds mediate the characteristic L-shaped molecular structure. tRNAs have two regions of fundamental functional importance: the anti-codon, which is responsible for specific mRNA codon recognition, and the 3' end, to which the tRNAs corresponding amino acid is attached (by aminoacyl-tRNA synthetases). tRNAs cope with the degeneracy of the genetic code in two manners: having more than one tRNA (with a specific anti-codon) for a particular amino acid; and 'wobble' base-pairing, i.e. permitting non-standard base-pairing at the 3rd anti-codon position. The record is from Rfam by way of RNAcentral. Lineage: Eukaryota; Metazoa; Arthropoda; Arachnida; Araneae; Eresidae.
GCCUUCGUGGUGUAGUUGUGAGUACGCUCGACAUCUAACUGAGAGGUCCAUGGUUCGAUUCCCGGCGAGGGCA